RNAcentral lists this long non-coding RNA (3797 nucleotides) under Phoenix dactylifera (date palm). RNAcentral's name for it is "long non-coding RNA (PDAC_LNC005254)". Lineage: Eukaryota; Viridiplantae; Streptophyta; Magnoliopsida; Arecales; Arecaceae. The record is from RNAcentral.
GAGGCCGCGACUGUGGAAAGUGGGCUAUUUCCUGAUAACACACAUGAAGAGAUACCUGCGCAUGGCCAUAAAGCGCAAACCCGCUUUGAGCAUGUUCACGCUAUAUUAUGUGUGCUGUUGAUGAAAUUUAAGCCAUGGAUCAAGGUUUAAGGCAUAGACCACCUUGGCUCCACAGAGGUAAUCAAUUGUCACUAAGUGAAGGUUCAAACCGAAAGGUGCCUACACCUAUUACAUAAUAUAAGAUACUUAGCAUUUUAAUUUGAUUUUUCUUAUUUCAUUUUAAUUUUAAAUUUUUUAAAUAUUUAAUUUAUGUAGGGGAUCGUUGAAUUAAAUCAAAUAUUUUAAAAUUUUGAAAAUCAAAUUGGUCAACGGCCAAGUGGCAAGCAUCCGCACACAAAUAAGGGAGCAAACAUGAAAAAAUUUCCAAAAGAAGUAGGCCAUGACAAGUGUCAUGCAUCUAGCGCAAGAGCAAGCAUGGAAAGGCCCCUCAAAGAAGGAAGAAAAUAUCAUAGGCCUUUUGUGAGGAUAUAUCUUUGGUCAUGGUAUUUGCUCUUUAAUGCACUUGAACUUAAUCCCACAAUCAGCACUUAAGAAUAAUGACAAAUNUGAGAUAUGUAUAGAGGCUAAAUUAUCUAAAAGACUCUUUCACUCUAUAUGUAGAAAUUCUGAUCUCUUUGAACUCAUACAUAGUGAUGUAUGUGACUCAGGGAGAACCUCAAGGGGUGGAAACAAAUAUUUUGUAACUUUCAUAAAUGACCUUUCUAGAUACUGUUACCUCUAUCUUAUCAAAGCUAAAAAUGAGGUUUUAAAUAAAUUCAAAGUCUAUAAAGCAGAGGCUAAAAACCAACUAGAUAAAAAGAUUAAAAUCUUAAGGUCUGAUAGAGGAGGUGAAUAUACCUCAUUUGAGCUGACCCAGUUGUGUGAAGAACAUGGAAUAAUUCAUGAAGUGACAGCUCCUUAUUCAUCCCAAUAUAAUGGAGUAGCUGAGAGAAAGAAUAGAACCUUAAUGGAUUUGGUUAACUCUAUGUUAAUUAGUUCAGGUGCAUCAAAAAAUCUUUGGGGAGAAGCUCUAGUAACUGCAUCUCAUAUUUUGAAUAGAAUUUCAUUUAAAUAUAAUGAUAAAACUCCAUAUGAAAUCUGAAAACAUAGAAAACCUAACUUAAAAUACUUAAAAGUGUGGGGGUGCUUAGCUAAAAUAAAAAUUUCAGAAAAUAAAAGAAAGAAAAUUGGACCCAAAACAGUAGAUGCAAUAUUUACAGGACAUGCAAUUGAGAGUAAUGCUAAUAGGAUUUUUAGUGUGUAACUCUCAAAUAAAUGAAAUUAAUAACAACACCAUAAUGGAAGCAAGAAAUGCAAUCUACUUUGAAAGUAUAUUUUCCUUUAAAACAAAGAUAAAUGAUCAAAUAAAUACCAAUAAUAAUUUAGGGACUAGGUCUAGCAGAACCAGAUUUAGAUAAAAAGAAGAAGAAGAAACUGAAUGUAGAAGAAGUAAAAGAACUAGAGUUGAAAAGAACUUUGGAGAAGACUACUACACAUUCCUAAUAGAAGACUCUCCUACUUCUUUAGAAGAUGCCUUGAAAUCUCUAGACGCCCCCUUCUGGAAAGAAGCAAUAGAUAAUGAAAUGCAAUCCAUAAUUCAAAACCACACUUGGAAAUUGGCAGACCUACCCCAAGGAAGUAAAUCCAUAAGGUGUAAAUGGAUCUUUAAGAAGAAACUUAGGCCAUAUGGAACUGUAGACAAAUAUAAGGCUAGGUUAGUAGCCAAAGGUAUUAUUCAAAAAUUUGGGAUUGACUUCUUUGAUGUUUAUGCCCCUGUAGCUAGAAUCACUACCAUUAGGAUCCUUGUUGCCUUGGCUUCCAUUCAGAAGCUGGUUAUACAUCAAAUGGAUGUUAAAACCGCUUUCUUGAAUGGGGACCUAGAUGAAGAGAUCUACAUGGACCAACCCGAAAAUUUCAUUGUCCCAGGUCAAGAGAAAAGGGUAUGUAGGUUGAUUAAAUCUUUUUAUGGUCUAUAACAAGCCCCCAAACAAUGGCACUUUAAAUUUGAUGAAAUAAUCCUAACUAAUGGAUUUAAAAUUAAUAACAUAGAUGAAUGUAUAUAUUAUAAAAAGAAGAAUAACAAAAUUAUAAUCUUAUGUCUAUAUGUAGAUGAUAUCUUAAUUUUUGGAACGGAUUUAGAAAUUAUUAAUGAAGUAAAACAAUUUUUAUCUCUAAAAUUUAACAUGAAAGAUUUAGGAGAAGCAGACCUAAUCCUAAAUACUAAAAUCAUAAGAAAUGAAUAUGGAAUAAUUUUGUCCCAAAGCCACUAUGUGGAGAAGAUUCUUAAAAAAUUUCACUACUCUGAUUGUCAUCCUGUAUCUACUCCCUAUAAUCCAUCUCUUCAUCUAAAGAAGAACUUAAGUGAUCCAGUCAAUCAAAGCUUGUAUGCCCAGAUCAUUGGUUCUUUAGGAUUUCUUGCAAAUUAUACCAGACCUGAUAUUGCAUACUCUGUGAACCGACUGAGUAGAUAUACUCAUAAUCCUAAUAAUGAUCAUUGGAUUGCUCUAGAAAGAAUUCUCAGGUGCUAUAAAGGUACCAUAUCUCUGGGAUUACACUAUUAUGGUUAUCUUGCUGCUUUGGAAGGCUAUAGUGAUGCCAACUGGAUCAGUGAUACAGUUGACACCAAAUCCAUCACUGAUUUUGUCUUCCUUUUAGGAGGUGCAGUUGUAUCAUGGAAGUCUACCAAAUAAACUGUGGUGGCUAGGAGCACCAUGGAAUCUUAAAUGAUUGCCCUAGAUGCCAUUAGCAUUGAGGCUAAGUGGCUUAAAGAUCUACUGAUAGAUUUACCUUUUGUGACUUCACCAUUACCUUCUAUAUAUAUUCAUUGUGAUUGUAGAUCUGCUAUAGAUAAAUGCAAUCAAAAAAAUGCAAAUGUGAAAAUGAAUAGGCACUUGAAAGUGUGUUCAUAAAUCAUUAAGAUACAAAUUAAAAAAAUAACUUGAUUGCACUAAAUUUUGUAAGAUUUGAAAGGAAUCUAGUUGAUCAGUCUAGAGCAGUGGUUCUAAAGUUGUCGAGGGGGAUGCGGCUAAGCCCAUAAGUAAAGUCACCAUGAUGGUAACCCAACCUAAAAAGGUUCAAUGGGUAAAAACAAGCUAGAUAGGUGACUAAUGAAGAGCACUAUUUGUUUUUCCCAUCCCUAAGGCAACAGUGCUCAUAAAAAGCAAGGGUUAGGUUGAGUUUUUACUCUUAAUGAAUCCGAGACCCAUGAGGCAGGGUAUCUACUUGCUCGUACCCUUUUUAGGAUUCACCUAUAUGCAUAUAGUCGUGAGGCCGCGACUGUGGAAAGUGGGCUAUUUCCUGAUAACACACAUGAAGAGAUACCUGCGCAUGGCCAUAAAGCGCAAACCCGCUUUGAGCAUGUUCACGCUAUAUUAUGUGUGCUGUUGAUGAAAUUUAAGCCAUGGAUCAAGGUUUAAGGCAUAGACCACCUUGGCUCCACAGAGGUAAUCAAUUGUCACUAAGUGAAGGUUCAAACCGAAAGGUGCCUACACCUAUUACAUAAUAUAAGAUACUUAGCAUUUUAAUUUGAUUUUUCUUAUUUCAUUUUAAUUUUAAAUUUUUUAAAUAUUUAAUUUAUGUAGGGGAUCGUUGAAUUAAAUCAAAUAUUUUAAAAUUUUGAAAAUCAAAUUGGUCAACGGCCAAGUGGCAAGCAUCCGCACACAAAUAAGGGAGCAAACAUGAAAAAAUUUCCAAAAGAAGUAGGCCAUGACAAGUGUCAUGCAUCUAGCGCAAGAGCAAGCAUGGAAAGGCCCCUCAAA